AAGAAACUAGAAGGAAUUGACGGUUUGAUAUCAUGAAGUCUUUAUAUGUUUGGUGAUUACAUAUUAUCAAGGAAUUGAAAGUUAUUCUUUGUACCGAGACUUAAGCUAAAGAUUCGUCCUUUUCAUUGAAAAUGUAAUUUUUAAUAAUGAAUUUUGUUUGCAUGUUAGUUUUUUAAGUUAAUUUCUUACUUUGGAUUCCAAAUUUGGGAAAUGUAAAGGACCACUUGAAUGAAAUUAUUUUCUAAUUAUCAACUUGUAACAUUUUAUUCACAUGAUUGAAUGUGGUCUUGCUUUAUUGUCCAUGGAAACACUAAUUUGUGGUUUGAUAUGUGAAGGACUUCCUUAGGUAACUGUUAAUAGUAAACGAAGUCCUUUGUAUUGGUUGAACUAAUGACCAGAUAUAAUCUGAAAGCUGUGUGUGAUACUGUUGUAUGAUUGCACUUCCCUUAAUUAAGAAUCUUCAAUCUUUUGUCAUCUUCUGGCACAGGACAUGUUCAUAUAUUUUGUUUGUUGUAUGUCUGAUUACCCUUUAUUUUCUGUGUUUUCCCAUAAUACAUUUAUUUUAAUAUUUAAUAAAAUGUU
Molecule: unclassified non-coding RNA, 582 nt
Filed under: Hevea brasiliensis (rubber tree)
Lineage: Eukaryota; Viridiplantae; Streptophyta; Magnoliopsida; Malpighiales; Euphorbiaceae
Source: RNAcentral